Pelobates cultripes (western spadefoot toad) is the source of this 702-nucleotide non-coding RNA. Lineage: Eukaryota; Metazoa; Chordata; Amphibia; Anura; Pelobatidae. The record is from the annotation of a GenBank genome assembly.
GUAAUGGCAGAUUAAGUGCUCUCUCUGUGUGGACGCUGUUCGUAUGGCCAUCUUGUCGCACAAAAAGAGACAGCGGGACUUGGUCGUUGAGUGUCUGGAACUAAAAUCGGACACUCGAAUUCCCGAACGCCGGUCAACUUUGCGAACGCCUGCUUCUUUUCACCGACCAGCCAGGAGAGCGCUAUUCGGUAGGUUUGUUCCCACGAACAAGGGGAACAAAUGCUACCCAUGAGCCAGGGGAGCAGUUUGUGGAUUUUUUCGGUUUUAGAACUCCCCGAAAUAGACCGACCACUACCUCUGAAACUGUGGAACUAUUUUGGGCAUAAGACUUUGUGUGUGGUCGGUCAAAAUAUGACUUCCAUGGAAAUCCCGAACCUCUGAACCAACCUGGGUGAUUUCUGGAUAUGUUGGUCCCCCAGAUCAGGACUAUCAGGGGAUGUGGCUGUUGUUUUGGGGGUAUUUUUGGGGUGUUAUUACAAUGUUUUUAGUGCCUGGAGAUAAUUCAGUUUAGUACACUUCCUGACUCAAUUAUCUCACAGGCACAGGGGAGGGAUUAUCUUGUUUUGUGUGGGAAUAUCCUGGACCUGAGAGCCAAUGUAGUUACAGUAUGUAUUUUGUCAUAGUCCCCUCUCAGGUCCAGUGGGGAAUGCCCCUGGAAUAUGUCACAGUAAACCCCUUGCAUGGGGACUUGCAUAUAAACCG